AGCCCCGUACACAAAAGCGCAUGUGCUGUGAGCUCGAUGAGUAGGGCGGGACACGUGGUAUCCUGUCUGAAUAUGGGGGGACCAUCCUCCAAGGCUAAAUACUCCUGACUGACCGAUAGUGAACCAGUACCGUGAGGGAAAGGCGAAAAGAACCCCGGCGAGGGGAGUGAAACAGAACCUGAAACCGUGUACGUACAAGCAGUGGGAGCCCCACCACCAAAGCGUUUCGCUUUGCGUGGUGCGCAAAAUGCGUAACGACAGCACGAUGGACGGUUAACGGAGCGUAAGCGACGUUCAACACAAAAAUCAGGCAGUGGAGCGUUUUGGGGUGGGGUGACUGCGUACCUUUUGUAUAAUGGGUCAGCGACUUAUAUUCUGUAGCAAGGUUAACCGCAUAGGGGAGCCGGAGGGAAACCGAGUCUUAAU
Molecule: ribosomal RNA, 426 nt
Filed under: Salmonella enterica subsp. houtenae
Lineage: Bacteria; Pseudomonadati; Pseudomonadota; Gammaproteobacteria; Enterobacterales; Enterobacteriaceae
Description: partial 23S ribosomal RNA
Rfam family: Bacterial large subunit ribosomal RNA
Source: RNAcentral